This 119-nucleotide ribosomal RNA is filed under the name Pteropus vampyrus (large flying fox). Lineage: Eukaryota; Metazoa; Chordata; Mammalia; Chiroptera; Pteropodidae. The record is from RNAcentral.
GUCUAUGGCCAUGCCAACCCAAACGUGCCUGAUCUCAUCUGAUCUUGGAAGCUAAGCAGGAUCGGGUCUGGUUAGUAUUUGGAUGGGAGACCACUUAAGAAGACCAGGUGCUGUAGGCG